This 139-nucleotide small RNA is filed under the name Gloeocapsa. RNAcentral's name for it is "sp. c-di-AMP sequence". It matches the Rfam family "c-di-AMP riboswitch aptamer (ydaO/yuaA leader)". From Rfam's summary of the family: This family represents a conserved RNA structure found upstream of the ydaO and yuaA genes in Bacillus subtilis and related genes in other bacteria. The ydaO/yuaA element is thought to act as a genetic "off" switch for the ydaO and yuaA genes in its native state. Lineage: Bacteria; Bacillati; Cyanobacteriota; Cyanophyceae; Chroococcidiopsidales; Chroococcidiopsidaceae. The record is from RNAcentral. RNAcentral also lists the same sequence under 1 other name.
UUUAGUGGGUAGCCUAAUCUUCUACCGCUUGCGUUGAAGAACGGAGGAACCAAAGUUCGGGGCGAAUCUCUAUAUAUGAGAAAGAUACCUUCCAAUCUUAGCCCGUCAGCUAACUUCGUAGGCAAUGGAAGGAGUACCU